This 440-nucleotide ribosomal RNA is filed under the name uncultured bacterium. Its description in RNAcentral is "partial 16S ribosomal RNA". It matches the Rfam family "Bacterial small subunit ribosomal RNA", at positions 338 to 795 of the family's 1533-position model. The record is from RNAcentral.
CCUACGGGAGGCAGCAGUGGGGAAUAUUGCACAAUGGGGGAAACCCUGAUGCAGCGACGCCGCGUGAGUGAAGAAUUAUUUCGGUACGUAAAGCUCUAUCAGCAGGGAAGAAAAUGACGGUACCUGACUAAGAAGCCCCGUCUAACUACGUGCCAGCAGCCGCGGUAAUACGUAGGGGGCAAUCGUUAUCCGGAUUUACUGGGUGUAAAGGGAGCGUAGACGGCAGCGCAAGUCUGGAGUGAAAUCCCAUGGCUUAACCAUGGAACUGCUGUGGAAACUGUGCAGCUAGAGUGCAGGAGAGGUAAGCGGAAUUCCUAGUGUAGCGGUGAAAUGCGUAGAUAUUAGGAGGAACACCAGUGGCGAAGGCGGCUUACUGGACUGUAACUGACGUUGAGGCUCGAAAGCGUGGGGAGCAAACAGGAUUAGAUACCCGUGUAGUC